This 440-nucleotide ribosomal RNA is filed under the name uncultured bacterium. RNAcentral describes it as "partial 16S ribosomal RNA". It matches the Rfam family "Bacterial small subunit ribosomal RNA", at positions 338 to 795 of the family's 1533-position model. The record is from RNAcentral.
CCUACGGGAGGCAGCAGUGGGGAAUAUUGCACAAUGGGGGAAACCCUGAUGCAGCGACGCCGCGUGAGUGAAGAAGUACUUCGUUAUGUAAAGCUCUAUCAGCAGGGAAGAAAAUGACGGUACCUGAGUAAGAAGCCCCGGCUAACUACGUGCCAGCAGCCGCGGUAAUACGUAGGGGGCAAGCGUUAUCCGGAUUUACUGGGUGGAAAGGGAGCGUAGACGGCAGUGCAAGUCUGGAGUGAAAGGCGGGGGCUCAACCCCCGGACUGCUCUGGAAACUGUACGGCUGGAGUGCAGGAGAGGUAAGUGGAAUUCCUAGUGUAGCGGUGAAAUGCGUAGAUAUUAGGAGGAACACCAGUGGCGAAGGCGGCUUACUGGACUGUAACUGACGUUGAGGCUCGAAAGCGUGGGGAGCAAACAGGAUUAGAUACCCUAGUAGUC